AUACGGAGGGCGCAAGCGUUGUUCGGAAUCAUUGGGCGUAAAGCGCGCGUAGGCGGCUUGGAAAGUCGGGUGUGAAAUCCCGGGGCUCAACCCCGGAACUGUACUCGAAACUUCCUGGCUAGAGUCUCGGAGAGGUAGGCGGAAUUCCCGGUGUAGAGGUGAAAUUCGUAGAUAUCGGGAGGAACACCAGUGGCGAAGGCGGCCUACUGGACGAUGACUGACGCUGAGGUGCGAAAGCGUGGGGAGCAAACAGGAUUAGAUACCCGAGUAGUCC
RNAcentral lists this ribosomal RNA (274 nucleotides) under uncultured bacterium. RNAcentral's name for it is "partial 16S ribosomal RNA". It matches the Rfam family "Bacterial small subunit ribosomal RNA", at positions 523 to 796 of the family's 1533-position model. The record is from RNAcentral.